ACGAACGCUGGCGGCGUGCUUAACACAUGCCAGUCGCACGGAAAGGCCCUGCUUUUGUGGGGUGCUCGAGUGGCGAACGGGUGAGUAACACGUGAGUAACCUGCCCUUGACUUUGGGAUAACUCCAGGAAACUGGGGCUAAUACCGGAUAGGAGCUCCUGCUGCAUGGUGGGGGUUGGAAAGUUUCGGCGGUUGGGGAUGGACUCGCGGCUUAUCAGCUUGUUGGUGGGGUAGUGGCUUACCAAGGCUUUGACGGGUAGCCGGCCUGAGAGGGUGACCGGCCGCAUUGAGACUGAGAUACGGCCCAGACUCCUACGGGAGGCAGCAGUGGGGAAUAUUGCACAAUGGGCGGAAGCCUGAUGCAGCAACGCCGCGUGCGGGAUGACGGCCUUCGGGUUGUAAACCGCUUUCGCCUGUGACGAAGCGUGAGUGACGGUAAUGGGUAAAGAAGCACCGGCUAACUACGUG
This 467-nucleotide ribosomal RNA is filed under the name uncultured bacterium. Its description in RNAcentral is "partial 16S ribosomal RNA". It matches the Rfam family "Bacterial small subunit ribosomal RNA", at positions 29 to 507 of the family's 1533-position model. The record is from RNAcentral.